This 297-nucleotide long non-coding RNA is filed under the name Nicotiana benthamiana. Its description in RNAcentral is "long non-coding RNA (NBEN_LNC039354)". The record is from RNAcentral. Lineage: Eukaryota; Viridiplantae; Streptophyta; Magnoliopsida; Solanales; Solanaceae.
GAUCAUUACGAUUUAUUUGCAAAGUUGUAAUCGACAUUUUUUUCCACCUUUAUGCUUGUGAACUGAUUAUAUGACGCAUGAUAGACUUACGAACUAUUAUUGUUUCUGUUAAACUCUAUUUUCAAUUUUUAAUUUGGUCUUUGUAUCUGCUAAAUGUACUACAGCACUUUGCUAAUAUGAUAUGUUGGACACUGAGAAGAUUAAUGUUAGAACUGUAUUUUUAAAUUUAAAUUGGGCGUUCAAGUUUGAGUUCUAUUAGAUGAUUGAUUUUCGACCUGCUUCGGAAUGAGAUAGCAG